UACGGGGGGGGCAAGCGUUGUUCGGAAUUACUGGGCGUAAAGGGCGCGUAGGCGGUUCGAUAAGUCAGCUGUGAAAACCAUGGGCUUAACUCAUGGCCUGCAGUUGAGACUGUCGGGCUGGAGUGUGGGAGAGGAGAGUGGAAUUCCUGGUGUAGCGGUGAAAUGCGUAGAGAUCAGGAAGAACAUCCGUGGCGAAGGCGGCUCUCUGGUACGUGACUGACGCUGAGACGCGAAAGCGUGGGGAGCGAACAGG
RNAcentral lists this ribosomal RNA (253 nucleotides) under uncultured bacterium. RNAcentral describes it as "partial 16S ribosomal RNA". It matches the Rfam family "Bacterial small subunit ribosomal RNA", at positions 524 to 776 of the family's 1533-position model. The record is from RNAcentral.